AUUCAGCGGCGGACGGGUGAGUAAUGCCUAGGAAUCUGCCUGGUAGUGGGGGAUAACGUUCGGAAACGGACGCUAAUACCGCAUACGUCCUACGGGAGAAAGCAGGGGACCUUCGGGCCUUGCGCUAUCAGAUGAGCCUAGGUCGGAUUAGCUAGUUGGUGAGGUAAUGGCUCACCAAGGCGACGAUCCGUAACUGGUCUGAGAGGAUGAUCAGUCACACUGGAACUGAGACACGGUCC
This 239-nucleotide ribosomal RNA is filed under the name uncultured Chaetoceros. RNAcentral describes it as "partial Bacterial small subunit ribosomal RNA". It matches the Rfam family "Bacterial small subunit ribosomal RNA", at positions 90 to 332 of the family's 1533-position model. The record is from RNAcentral. Lineage: Eukaryota; Bacillariophyta; Thalassiosirophyceae; Chaetocerotales; Chaetocerotaceae.